Molecule: ribosomal RNA, 1026 nt
Filed under: Acinetobacter baumannii
Lineage: Bacteria; Pseudomonadati; Pseudomonadota; Gammaproteobacteria; Moraxellales; Moraxellaceae
Description: partial 23S ribosomal RNA
Rfam family: Bacterial large subunit ribosomal RNA
Source: RNAcentral
GUAAACGGCGGCCGUAACUAUAACGGUCCUAAGGUAGCGAAAUUCCUUGUCGGGUAAGUUCCGACCUGCACGAAUGGCAUAAUGAUGGCGGCGCUGUCUCCAGCAGAGGCUCAGUGAAAUCGAAAUCGCUGUGAAGAUGCAGUGUACCCGCGGCUAGACGGAAAGACCCCGUGAACCUUUACUGCAGCUUGACACUGAACUUUGACCUUACUUGUGUAGGAUAGGUGGGAGGCUUUGAAGCUGGAACGCUAGUUCCAGUGGAGCCGUCCUUGAAAUACCACCCUGGUAAUGUUGAGGUUCUAACUCUGUCCCGUGAUCCGGGACGAGGACCGUGUCUGGUGGGUAGUUUGACUGGGGCGGUCUCCUCCUAAAGAGUAACGGAGGAGUACGAAGGUGCGCUCAGCGUGGUCGGAAAUCACGCGUAGAGUAUAAAGGCAAAAGCGCGCUUAACUGCGAGACCCACAAGUCGAGCAGGUACGAAAGUAGGUCUUAGUGAUCCGGUGGUUCUGUAUGGAAGGGCCAUCGCUCAACGGAUAAAAGGUACUCUGGGGAUAACAGGCUGAUACCGCCCAAGAGUUCAUAUCGACGGCGGUGUUUGGCACCUCGAUGUCGGCUCAUCUCAUCCUGGGGCUGAAGCAGGUCCCAAGGGUAUGGCUGUUCGCCAUUUAAAGAGGUACGCGAGCUGGGUUUAGAACGUCGUGAGACAGUUCGGUCCCUAUCUACCGUGGGCGCUGGAAAUUUGAGAGGAUCUGCUCCUAGUACGAGAGGACCAGAGUGGACGAACCUCUGGUGUACCGGUUGUGACGCCAGUCGCAUCGCCGGGUAGCUAUGUUCGGAAGGGAUAACCGCUGAAAGCAUCUAAGCGGGAAGCCUACCUCAAGAUAAGAUUUCCCUAGGACUUUAUGUCCUCUAAAGAGCCGUUCGAGACUAGGACGUUGAUAGGUUGGAUGUGGAAGCAUAGUGAUAUGUGAAGCUGACCAAUACUAAUUGCUCGUGAGGCUUGACUAUACAACACCCAAGCAGUUG